GAUGAACGCUGACAGAAUGCUUAACACAUGCAAGUCUUUGGCGAAGCUGUGCUUGCACAGCCUAGCCAAGGCGGACGGGUGAGUAACGCGUAAGGAACUUGCCCUGCAGUCAGGGAUAACAGACGGAAACGACUGAUAAGACCUGGUAAAGUCAGGCGGACUCAUGUCCAACCUGAUGAAAAGAGAUGCUGCAGGAGAGCCUUGCGUCCUAUUAGCUUGUUGGUGGGGUAACGGCCCACCAAGGCGAUGAUAGGUAGCCGGCCUGAGAGGGUGGACGGCCACAAGGGGACUGAGAUACGGCCCUUACUCCUACGGGAGGCAGCAGUGGGGAAUAUUGGACAAUGGGGGCAACCCUGAUCCAGCAAUUCUGUGUGCACGAUGAAGGUUUUCGGAUUGUAAAGUGCUUUCAGCAGGGAAGAAAAAAAUGACGGUACCUGCAGAAGAAGCGACGGCUAAAUACGUG
This 463-nucleotide ribosomal RNA is filed under the name uncultured bacterium. RNAcentral's name for it is "partial 16S ribosomal RNA". It matches the Rfam family "Bacterial small subunit ribosomal RNA", at positions 28 to 507 of the family's 1533-position model. The record is from RNAcentral.